UGGGGAAUUUUGGACAAUGGGCGCAAGCCUGAUCCAGCAAUGCCGCGUGCAGGAUGAAGGCCUUCGGGUUGUAAACUGCUUUUGUACGGAACGAAACGGCUCUGGUUAAUACCUGGGGCUAAUGACGGUACCGUAAGAAUAAGCACCGGCUAACUACGUGCCAGCAGCCGCGGUAAUACGUAGGGUGCGAGCGUUAAUCGGAAUUACUGGGCGUAAAGCGUGCGCAGGCGGUGAUGUAAGACAGAUGUGAAAUCCCCGGGCUCAACCUGGGACCUGCAUUUGUGACUGCAUAGCUAGAGUGCGGCAGAGGGGGAUGGAAUUCCGCGUGUAGCAGUGAAAUGCGUAGAUAUGCGGAGGAACACCGAUGGCGAAGGCAAUCCCCUGAGCCUGUACUGACGCUCAUGCACGAAAGCGUGGGGAGAUAACA
This 427-nucleotide ribosomal RNA is filed under the name uncultured bacterium. Its description in RNAcentral is "bacterial SSU rRNA". It matches the Rfam family "Bacterial small subunit ribosomal RNA", at positions 355 to 774 of the family's 1533-position model. The record is from RNAcentral.